GAUGAACGCUGACAGAAUGCUUAACACAUGCAAGUCAACUUGAAUUUGGGUUUUUAACUUAGGUUUGGGUGGCGGACGGGUGAGUAACGCGUAAAGAACUUGCCUCACAGUUAGGGACAACAUUUGGAAACGAAUGCUAAUACCUAAUAUUAUGAUAAUAGGGCAUCCUAUAAUUAUGAAAGCUAUAAGCGCUGUGAGAGAGCUUUGCGUCCCAUUAGCUAGUUGGAGAGGUAACGGCUCACCAAGGCGAUGAUGGGUAGCCGGCCUGAGAGGGUGAUCGGCCACAAGGGGACUGAGACACGGCCCUUACUCCUACGGGAGGCAGCAGUGGGGAAUAUUGGACAAUGGACCAAGAGUCUGAUCCAGCAAUUCUGUGUGCACGAUGAAGUUUUUCGGAAUGUAAAGUGCUUUCAGUUGGGAAGAAAGAAAUGACGGUACCAACAGAAGAAGUGACGGCUAAAUACGUGCCAGCAGCCGCGGUAAUACGUAUGUCACGAGCGUUAUCCGGAUUUAUUGGGCGUAAAGCGCGUCUAGGUGGUUAUGUAAGUCUGAUGUGAAAAUGCAGGGCUCAACUCUGUAUUGCGUUGGAAACUGUAUAACUAGAGUACUGGAGAGGUAAGCGGAACUACAAGUGUAGAGGUGAAAUUCGUAGAUAUUUGUAGGAAUGCCGAUGGGGAAGCCAGCUUACUGGACAGAUACUGACGCUGAAGCGCGAAAGCGUGGGUAGCAAACAGG
RNAcentral lists this ribosomal RNA (735 nucleotides) under uncultured Fusobacterium sp. Its description in RNAcentral is "bacterial SSU rRNA". It matches the Rfam family "Bacterial small subunit ribosomal RNA", at positions 28 to 776 of the family's 1533-position model. The record is from RNAcentral. Lineage: Bacteria; Fusobacteriati; Fusobacteriota; Fusobacteriia; Fusobacteriales; Fusobacteriaceae.